UUAUUGAUAGAAAAGCCACCGGUAGCAGACGAGGACAAAGCACAAGACAACGUAAAAGAACCUUUAGUUAACAGCAAUUCAAAUCCGUUAGAGCAGACGGGCGAUAAUCAAAAUCAUGAAGACAUUAAUGCAGGUUCUACCACAUCAGACAAGUUAAAUACAAAAGAAAAUCCAGCGGUAGCAGGAGAGGACAAAACACAUGACAACGUAAAAAAUCCUUUAGUUAAUAGCAAUUCAAAUCCGUUAGAGCAGACGGACGAUAAUCAAAAUCCUGAAGUCAAGAAUGCAGUUUCUACCAUAUCAGACACGUUAGAUACAAAAGAAAAGCCACCGGUAGCAGACGAGGACAAAGCACAAGACAACGUAAAAGAACCUUUAGUUUAUAG
Ruditapes philippinarum (Manila clam) is the source of this 386-nucleotide long non-coding RNA. RefSeq lists it as uncharacterized. NCBI's taxonomy places the organism in Eukaryota, Metazoa, Mollusca, Bivalvia, Venerida, Veneridae. The transcript is spliced from 5 exons. The record is from RefSeq and is a predicted model, not a curated record.